Molecule: transfer RNA, 57 nt
Filed under: Camelus bactrianus (Bactrian camel)
Lineage: Eukaryota; Metazoa; Chordata; Mammalia; Artiodactyla; Camelidae
Also listed under: 2 other names
Rfam family: tRNA
About the family: Transfer RNA (tRNA) molecules are approximately 80 nucleotides in length.
Source: Rfam by way of RNAcentral
UGGCUCAGUGGUAGAGCACAUGCUUAGCAUGCAGGAGGUCCUGGGUUCAAUACCUAG